Molecule: non-coding RNA, 861 nt
Organism: Xyrichtys novacula (pearly razorfish)
Lineage: Eukaryota; Metazoa; Chordata; Actinopteri; Labriformes; Labridae
Source: the annotation of a GenBank genome assembly
CCUCAGUCCCUGUUUCCUGCUGUAUUAUAGAGCCCUGGAGUCUGAUGUUGUCUGAAACGUCCAGGACACAGAUGGAGCUCAUGAAUGAUUGAUCGCAGGUGAUGUUUGCAGCCAGCCAGUCACAACUCCAAGGUAAAAGGUAAUGUGUGAAUAAUGAAUUCAUGUCCAUGAUUUUCAAGAACUUUGAGUGCAUACAUUAGGAAAUGCACUUUUUAUUUAACAAAUUCAUGCUGAAAUUCUGAGGGUUGUUCUUUAGCUUGCCACUCUUCUGCAUUUUUGAUUGAUUAAGAAUACUCUAGCAUCGUUAAAUGCAUCAUAUCAAACACAACACAGAACCAAACACCUACACACUCACUUAAACACACACUGAGAUAAAGAAAGGACAUAUUAGAGCAGUGUAUUGUAUAUUUAUGAGGUCGUGUAAUGCAUUACAUCUAAUAUUAAAGAGAUUCCCCUUCCUCUCUGGCAUGAAAUGACACAAAGAAAGAGCACUGUUUUCAAGAAAGGGAAUCUGAUAAAAAUAAGACUAAAAUUCUUAAGAGGAAGUUCUGUAUGAAUUAAGACACAAUUGGAGGUUUACUCUGUGGUAACAUUGCGUGAGUUUGUCAAGACCAGAGGUCUCUGUGGAUGCUCAUUGUGAUUAAAAAAAUCAAAGCCAGUGUAUUUGAUAAGCCAAUCGUAUGUUGGGACAUUAAUAUUUCAUAAAAUGAAAAAAAUAGCAGGCAAAACUUCAACUGUUUCACAUCCUCCAUUCACGUCUCUAUCUUUCAUCAGAAACUCCAACAGUGACCUCUAGUGUGGCUGCUUCCCUGAAGACCUGUGUGUGAGAGAGAGAGAUGUACGAGCCUGCAUCACAGUGAG